This 642-nucleotide ribosomal RNA is filed under the name uncultured Bacteroidota bacterium. RNAcentral's name for it is "bacterial SSU rRNA". It matches the Rfam family "Bacterial small subunit ribosomal RNA", at positions 68 to 705 of the family's 1533-position model. Lineage: Bacteria; Pseudomonadati; Bacteroidota. The record is from RNAcentral.
AGCACAGUGUAGCAAUACAUGGGUGGCGAGUGGCGCACGGGUGCGUAACACGUAUGCAAUUUGCCCAUAACUGGGGGAUAGCCCUCCGAAAGGAGGAUUAAUACCCCAUAACCCAGCGAGGUGGCAUCACCUUUCUGGUAAAUCUCCGGAGGUUAUGGAUGAGCAUGCGUCUGAUUAGCUAGUUGGUGAGGUAACGGCUCACCAAGGCAACGAUCAGUAGGGGGUCUGAGAGGAUGAUCCCCCACACGGGUACUGAGACACGGACCCGACUCCUACGGGAGGCAGCAGUAAGGAAUAUUGGACAAUGGAGGCAACUCUGAUCCAGCCAUGCCGCGUGAAGGAUGAAGGCCCUACGGGUUGUAAACUUCUUUUCUCUUAGAAAAAACUACUGGUUUCGUACCGGUACUGAUUGUACAAGAGGAAUAAGCAUCGGCUAACUUCGUGCCAGCAGCCGCGGUAAUACGAAGGAUGCAAGCGUUAUCCGGAUUCACUGGGUUUAAAGGGUGUGCAGGUGGGGUAAUAAGUCGGUGGUGAAAGCCCCCGACUCAAUCGGGGAACUGCCAUAGAUACUGUUAUUCUUGAGUGUGGUUGAGGCGGAUGGAGUAUGACAUGUAGCGGUGAAAUGCUUAGAUAUGUCAUAGA